This 305-nucleotide ribosomal RNA is filed under the name uncultured bacterium. RNAcentral describes it as "bacterial SSU rRNA". It matches the Rfam family "Bacterial small subunit ribosomal RNA", at positions 334 to 634 of the family's 1533-position model. The record is from RNAcentral.
CACUCCUACGGGACGCAGCAGGGAAUUUUCGUCAAUGGGCGCAAGCCUGAACGAGCGAUGCCGCGUGAGUGAAGAAGGCCUUCGGGUCGUAAAGCUCUGUUGCGGGGGAAAAAAGGCAGCAUCAGGAAAUGGGUGCUGACUGAUGGUGCCCCGCCAGAAAGUCACGGCUAACUACGUGCCAGCAGCCGCGGUAAUACGUAGGUGGCGAGCGUUAUCCGGAAUGAUUGGGCGUAAAGGGUGCGCAGGCGGUCCUGCAAGUCUGGAGUGAAACGCAUGGGCUCAACUCAUGCAUGGCUUUGGAAACU